This is a non-coding RNA of Triticum aestivum (bread wheat), 115 nucleotides long. The record is from Rfam. NCBI's taxonomy places the organism in Eukaryota, Viridiplantae, Streptophyta, Magnoliopsida, Poales, Poaceae.
CUUAUACUCCCUCCGUCCGGAAAUACUUGUCGGAGAAAUGGAUGUAUCUAGACAUAAUUUGGUUCUAAAUACAUCCAUUUCCACGACAAGUAAUUCCGGACGGAGGGAGUAUUUA